This is a long non-coding RNA of Pipistrellus kuhlii (Kuhl's pipistrelle), 1598 nucleotides long. RefSeq lists it as uncharacterized. Lineage: Eukaryota; Metazoa; Chordata; Mammalia; Chiroptera; Vespertilionidae. The transcript has 2 exons. The record is from RefSeq and is a predicted model, not a curated record.
AACGCUGUGACGUAGGGGGAUUGGACUUCCGCACAGGAAUGUGACCGGGACAGGAGCAGGAGAUUGGAUGGUGUGCCUCAGCCAGUCAGUUCAAGGCCACGCGAACAAGCGUGAGGUCUCCUGGGGAUGGAGAAAUUUGGCCUCAAGAUGGUAACAUCAACUUCUUCCAGGAGGUGCAGCCUGUAGAUUCUGAACUUGUCAGACCCCGCAACCACAGGAGGCAGUGCCUUAAAAUAAAUCUCUCAACCGUGUGCCUGUGUACACCGCUGGCUCCAUUUCUCUGGAGAACCCUGGUACUCUGCCGUAGGAACUACUGAAAUACCUGUUUGUGUCAAAUGCUGGGCUGGCUGGGAGGUUUUGUUGUUGCAAAAGGGAGCCAGCUCCAUUCACGACAUCUCAGAGCUGUGAAUCAGCCAAGCGCGGGCUGCAGUACUCACACAGAACUCCAGGUGGCGCCCCUGCACUACUCAAAAGAGGCUUCCUUGCUGCAGGCCUCACCUCACAGGCUUUUAAACUCAGAUUUCAAGACAACCCGAUGACUCAGCAACGCCAAAGGGAAGCAUAACAUUUGGACAGAGGAUACUGCCUCCAUGCCCAGAGUUCACAAGCUUGCCACCACAAAAAUCACUUUUUCCAUGUGUUCUUUCUUGGAAGUCGCAUCUCUUUGGUAGGCGUUAGCAUGAUCUGAGCCAAUAGCUACUUGGGCAAUCUCAUUUUCUCCCCCCAACUCCCCGCCUCCCCCCAUGAAUAGGACACCCCGGGGUUAAUAGAAAAGGAGGAGGUUAGCAUUGUGGUUGAAGGUUGACGGGCCAAUGUGUCUUGCUUUCCAUCUGCAGCAGAAAAGAGGUCACCGGCUCAUUGUUCUAGGUUUUUCUUUCUUUUCAAGCCUCCAGGGAUGUGAGCCACUCUGGCCCAAGGACACAGCACGCCCCGGGUGUUUGUGCCCAUAGGGCAUGACUCACCCCGACCCCAGGAUGUCAGCUCCCUGCAGUGCUGGCCGGACAGACUCGAUGCCUGCUGGGCAAACCCCUCUGUUAAUCCUGCCGGUGGCCAGGACCCUACCCUGUCAUUAGGCUGUGUCCUUGACCACAAGCCCAAAGCAUUUGGCGGCAUGGGCUUGUUGAAGCCUUGUAAUGUUUUGUAAGAAAAUUUGAGAUGCCUUUACUUUUUAAAUUUCAGCGCUGGCUAUGGGCAGCAGAACCAGCUUUGUGGAGUGACCCUGGGAAGGUCUCCCAGGGAUUCAGAGUCAGAAUUGUGGGCCUGGACCUGCCAUCGGGGUGCUGACGUGCCUAAAUCUCUGCCCCGAGGCUCUCCCUCCCCAGCCUGCCGCCCCCACCAUCACUCAUCCUGUCCUGGUACAUAAGGCAUUCGUCUGGCUCUUUUCUAAAGGACGCGCAUUCGCACACGGACACAAAUCCACGUCUGUGUUUCUGCGGUUUCAAGCAAUGUGUCUCUGAUGUGCUCCUGGUCUAACCCAAGAGGAAGUGGAAGCAUCACCUACCAUUUAUAUUAGAACCUGGCUUUAAAAAAUAUAUAUUUUUAUUGAUUUCAGAGAGGAAGGGGGGGUGGGGGAGAGAGAGAGAGAGAGAGAGGGAGAG